RNAcentral lists this long non-coding RNA (983 nucleotides) under Pan troglodytes (chimpanzee). RNAcentral describes it as "long non-coding RNA NONPTRT006173". The record is from RNAcentral. Lineage: Eukaryota; Metazoa; Chordata; Mammalia; Primates; Hominidae.
UGCCAGCCUGGGGGUGGAGGGUGUGGUCCCCAUGGCUUGUGGGAGGGAGGGCCCAGAGGGGCAAAGUCACCACCCUGAGGCCACCAGGAGAUCCCUGCAGAGGGCAGAGUGGGUUGGGGCCUGCCUUAGGGUCUGUUCCCUUUGAGCUCGGUGGGACAGGGUCAUCUCGAGGGUCCCAGUGUUUUUUUCUGGUCCCUGCCCCAGUGUCUAAUGGGACACAGCCCCUCACAUCCCCAGUCUGUGGGGGGCAGAGGUCAUGGGUCACUGACAUCCCCUGGCUCAUUCCUCCCACAUUCACCCAACAGACCCCUUAUCCUCCAUCCCCCUGCCGAGAUUGGGGAUUGGCUCAGGGCCUGUUCUCCCCACUGAGUUUGGUGGGAUGGGGCCAUCUUGAGGGUCUGGGUGUUUUUCUCAGGUGGGACCUAGAUCCCCACAGUCCCUCACGUGCCCAAUCUGUGGGGUGGGCAUGGGGUCACCAAGGUCACCUGGUUCAUUCUUCCCCCAUCCAGAUUCCGUCUCUAGAGCCUUUGAGGUCACUCCUGAUGCUGACAUGGCUGUGAAGAGCUGGGUGCCAGGCAUUACUGCCUCCAAGGUUGCUUUGCGAGGAAUAGGUGGGGCAUCAGGAAGAAGCCAGUUGCAGCCAUCCAUGGGAGGGAGCUGUGAGAUGGCCUGGCAGAACCCGCUCUCGGACCCCACAGAAUGAGAGGCUCACCCUGCACAGGAACAUCCUGGGGCAGCAGGCUCAGCACAUUUUAAAUUUUGAGUAUGAACAAAGUAAACUUCAGGGUUAAAAAAAAAACACAAAAAUUUGUCGAGCACACAAUGAUUGAGUGCCUAUGGUAUACCUGAUGCUUUGCCAUAUCCAGGCUUCAAACCUCAGGGUUCUGGGUCCUUUGAGGCCCAGCUCCAACCCCACCUCACCCAAGCACUCUCCACCCCCACCACGUAACCUUACCAGGGCUGCCCAGCUUGGGUCAUCUCAG